This 194-nucleotide microRNA precursor is filed under the name Oryza brachyantha (malo sina). Its description in RNAcentral is "MIR812 microRNA precursor family". It matches the Rfam family "MIR812 microRNA precursor family". Lineage: Eukaryota; Viridiplantae; Streptophyta; Magnoliopsida; Poales; Poaceae. The record is from Rfam by way of RNAcentral.
AAUAAACGAAUUUCUAAGUUUUUGAUAGAAUUUUUAACUCUUCGUCUUAUUUAAAAAUUUUUUAUAAUUAAUAGUUUUAUUGUUACUCUAUGAUAAAACAUGAAUGCUACUUUACAUAUAAUUAAUUUUUUGAUUUUUUUAAUAAAUUUUUCAAAUAAGACGAAUGGUCAAACACUAAAUCUAGAAAACCUAGA